RNAcentral lists this unclassified non-coding RNA (190 nucleotides) under plant metagenome. RNAcentral describes it as "partial contains small subunit ribosomal RNA and internal transcribed spacer 1". The stretch from base 1 to 45 matches the Rfam family "Eukaryotic small subunit ribosomal RNA", at positions 1787 to 1831 of the family's 1831-position model. The record is from RNAcentral.
AGUCGUAACAAGGUUUCCGUAGGUGAACCUGCGGAAGGAUCAUUACGUAUGGUAGGCCGGUCUGACCGGUUCUAUUCAACCCUGUUUUUGCGCACCCUUUGUUUCCUCGGCAGGCUUGCCUGCCAGUAGGACCUUUUCAACCCUUCGUGUCAAAGCAAUCAGCGUCAAACAAACAAAACAAUGGUAACAA